Molecule: ribosomal RNA, 468 nt
Filed under: uncultured bacterium
Lineage: Bacteria
Description: partial 16S ribosomal RNA
Rfam family: Bacterial small subunit ribosomal RNA
Source: RNAcentral
GAUGAACGCUGGCGGCGUGCUUAACACAUGCAAGUCGAACGGAAAGGCCCUGCUUUUGUGGGGUGCUCGAGUGGCGAACGGGUGAGUAACACGUGAGUAACCUGCCCUUGUCUUUGGGAUAACAUCAGGAGACUGCGGCUCAUACCGGAUAGGAGCUCCUGCUGCGUGGUGGGGGUUGGAAAGUUUCGGCGGUUGGGGAUCGUCUGGCGGCUUAUGAGCUGGUUGGUGGGGUAGUGGCUUACCAAGGCUUUGACGGGUAGCCGGCCUGAGAGCGUGAACGGGCACAAUGGGCCUAAGGUAGGCACCAGACGGGAACGGGCCGCAACAGUGGAGAGUCUGACGCAGCAGGGCGGCGCCUGAGAUGGCGGUCCUGCGUGCGGAAUGAUGGGUUACGGGUUAUGAACAGAUUUGGACUGUGACAAGCAGUGCGUGACGGUAAUGGGUAAGGAAGCAACGGCUAACUACGUG